RNAcentral lists this ribosomal RNA (701 nucleotides) under Escherichia coli. RNAcentral's name for it is "partial 23S ribosomal RNA". It matches the Rfam family "Bacterial large subunit ribosomal RNA", at positions 2248 to 2925 of the family's 2925-position model. Lineage: Bacteria; Pseudomonadati; Pseudomonadota; Gammaproteobacteria; Enterobacterales; Enterobacteriaceae. RNAcentral also lists the same sequence under 1 other name. The record is from RNAcentral.
CGGACAGUGUCUGGUGGGUAGUUUGACUGGGGCGGUCUCCUCCUAAAGAGUAACGGAGGAGCACGAAGGUUGGCUAAUCCUGGUCGGACAUCAGGAGGUUAGUGCAAUGGCAUAAGCCAGCUUGACUGCGAGCGUGACGGCGCGAGCAGGUGCGAAAGCAGGUCAUAGUGAUCCGGUGGUUCUGAAUGGAAGGGCCAUCGCUCAACGGAUAAAAGGUACUCCGGGGAUAACAGGCUGAUACCGCCCAAGAGUUCAUAUCGACGGCGGUGUUUGGCACCUCGAUGUCGGCUCAUCACAUCCUGGGGCUGAAGUAGGUCCCAAGGGUAUGGCUGUUCGCCAUUUAAAGUGGUACGCGAGCUGGGUUUAGAACGUCGUGAGACAGUUCGGUCCCUAUCUGCCGUGGGCGCUGGAGAACUGAGGGGGGCUGCUCCUAGUACGAGAGGACCGGAGUGGACGCAUCACUGGUGUUCGGGUUGUCAUGCCAAUGGCACUGCCCGGUAGCUAAAUGCGGAAGAGAUAAGUGCUGAAAGCAUCUAAGCACGAAACUUGCCCCGAGAUGAGUUCUCCCUGACCCUUUAAGGGUCCUGAAGGAACGUUGAAGACGACGACGUUGAUAGGCCGGGUGUGUAAGCGCAGCGAUGCGUUGAGCUAACCGGUACUAAUGAACCGUGAGGCUUAACCUUACAACGCCGAAGGUGUUU